AUGAAUAUUAGGGUACUCUUUUAACAAGGGGCCUGACUUUCAUUCUUCUACACUGUGCACUAUUAUUCAAUUCGGUCAGUUGGUAGUUUGGCUGUCUCUGGCCUUACGACGCUGCCGAGUUUCAUUUUUAAACUCUACAAGUCUAAGAAUGUAACAAACCUAAAACAAAAAAA
This 173-nucleotide unclassified non-coding RNA is filed under the name uncultured fungus. RNAcentral describes it as "sequence contains ITS1, 5.8S rRNA gene". Lineage: Eukaryota; Fungi. The record is from RNAcentral. RNAcentral also lists the same sequence under 1 other name.